Long non-coding RNA from Pantherophis guttatus, 969 nucleotides. RefSeq lists it as uncharacterized. The record is from RefSeq and is a predicted model, not a curated record. NCBI's taxonomy places the organism in Eukaryota, Metazoa, Chordata, Lepidosauria, Squamata, Colubridae.
CCGUUUGGCUCUGCCGGGCCAGGAGUCCCCCGCGAGAGAGAAGCUGCCCUUGAACUGUCCGGAGUGCACGUUGUCCAGGGAGAGGCCGGACGAUGACACAACAAUGCAAGAUGACACAACAACAACAUUAUUACAACAACAACAUUAUUAAGAACAAUGAGUCUGCUUACAGAAAGGAAGUACAAGGGCUGAUAUUGUGGUGUAAAGAAAAUAAUCUUACACUUAACACCAAAAAAACUAAAGAACUUAUAAUUGACUUCAGGAGGAAGAGAGAUAUACGUUUACCAUUGUACAUAAAUGGUGAGAUGGAGAGUGUGGGUAGUUUUAAAUUUCUGGGCAUUUAUAUCUCGGAGGACCUCUCAUGGAUUAUGAAUGCUGACAUGUUUGUGAAAAAAGCACAGAAGAGGCUGUACUUCCUGAGAAAGUUCAGGAAGAUAAAUCUAUCUCAGCAUCUAUUUCUGUCCUACUAUCGCAGCACCAUUGAGUGUCCUGACAUACGUCAUUCUUGCGUGGUAUAGGAGCAGCUCUGUAGCAGACAGAAAAGCUCUACAGAGAAUCAUUAAAAGUGCCCAGAAUAUCAUCGGGCUCCAGCUACCAGCCCUGGACGACAUCUUCGAAUUUCGCUGUUUGAAGAAGUUGCAUAACAUUCUCAGACUCUUUAGGACUGUUGCUUUCUGGCAGAAGAUACAGAACAAUUAAAACUAGGACCACAUGUUUUCUGAAGUUUUUAUCCCAGAGCUAUAAUUGCACUCAACAAUGAACUAAAGGGCCACCAUCAGUGAGCUGUUGGACAGCAUUACUUGGUCUGUUGUGUGGAUGUUUGGGUGGUUUAAGGGUGGGGAAUUUGUGGUGGAUGGAGGUAUCUUUGGGGAUUGUAUGUGUUGGACCUGGUCUUUGGGUGUUAAGUGAAUUUCGUUCUAUGCAUAUACUGUGUAUACAUGUACAAUGACAAUAAAAUUAUUAAAAUGA